This 8478-nucleotide unclassified non-coding RNA is filed under the name Diabrotica virgifera virgifera (western corn rootworm). Its description in RNAcentral is "glycogen debranching enzyme". Lineage: Eukaryota; Metazoa; Arthropoda; Insecta; Coleoptera; Chrysomelidae. The record is from RNAcentral.
UACUGGAAAAUAAGCCGGAGAGACUAUCAACAGUUUGCAUUUUGAGAAAUAUGCUUUGGUUAAUUGUUAGGUUUACGUUUUAUGGUGUUAUAUUUGUGAUACAGUUGACUUGCUCUAUAACUUGUGAACUUUUCCGCUUGACAUCACUAUGGGUGGUUCUAGGAUUAUUAACUAUAUCAGAUGGCAUAAAUACUGCUGUCAGCAGUACAUCACAAGAAGAAGAGAAAUCUGACAAAUCCAGCAGCAAUAAACCCAAGCAACAGUUUAAAGGUGGCAAAGUUCGACAGAGGCCUAAAAAACUUAACGAAGAUCCCACAUUUAGUACAAGUUUAUCAACCCCCAUUGAAGAUAUAAUAGAGGAAACAAUCAAUGAAGAAGCAGUAGCAGUUAAUAAGAAAAAAGGAAAAUCAUCCAAAAAGCAAACUGAAGAAUUGCCAGUGAAAAAGGAAAAACCCACAAAAGAUCUAGAUGAUGACAUAGGUUAUUCAUUUUUCAAAGUUAAAACUGUUUCCAAAGGAAAUCCAGAAGCCAAGCCUAAGAAACAAGUUUCUGUUGACCUAAAUGAAGAUAACACAGCAGAUGAUAUAGGUUUCUCAUUUUUACCUGUCAAAGAAAAAGGCAAAAAAUAUAAAUCUAAGAGUAAUCCAGAAAAUAAAGACCAAGAACUGACUUUAAACGCAGUGGUAGAUCAGACACUGAGGAAAGCUAAAUAUGAUACAUCAAAGCCGUCAAUAAUAGAACAUUACAAAAAGAGAACAACUGACAAAGCUUUUUCCAAAAAGGCUGCAACAAAAUUUGAAAGUCCUUCAGUAUCUACAAUCGUAGAAAAGAGAUUGUUGUAUGAAAGCAAACUUAAAAGUGAAACUAAGGAGAGCAAAAAAGUUACAUCUUCUAUUUCCUUUGCUAGCAUAGUCAGUAAUGCUACUGACGCCCCUUCAGGUUCUGAUAUUGAACAAAAUUCCCAGUUACUAAAUGGACCUAAGCCUGAUAUUCAACAGCAUAUCUUUGAGUCUUUAGAGUCAGUAAAAUCUAGUGCUGAGUCCGUAGAAGUAAUUGAUGAUAGCAAUUCUGAAUAUCAAAACAGUCAAUCCACCAAUUUUGAGACAAUCAAAGAAAAAUUAAAUACUUUACUCGAUGAGGAUUCUGAUUUUAAUCAAACUCAAAUAGAGCAAUCAAAUGUAUAUGAAAUAGAUCAAUCUUCAAAGCAUUCUUCUGUAUAUAUUGUAGGAAGUAACGAGGUAUUGGAAGAAUCAUCCUCCACACAAGAUUCUUAUAUUGGUCAUACAGGUUUUGAACAAGAACCUGAACAAACAUUCAGUCAGAAAACUCUAGAAGCUUCUAUAGACAACAGAUUUAUAACAGAUGCCAGUAUAUUAGAAAAAAGUACAUCCACUGAAGCUUUUCUUAGUUUUGAAAGACAUAUCGAAUCACAAGAUCUAACACACAGUCUUGAAUCCAGUAAUUAUUAUCAAAAUAAUUAUUCACAGUUAAAUUUUGACAAUCAACUUCAAAACUCUUCAGAAAGCCAUAUUUCUGAUUACAGCUAUUCCCAAAAUCAACAGUCCCUAAGCUCAAGCGACUUUUCUAGAGACUACAAUUCUACAGACCAUUCCUUUACAGAACUAGUUGACAAUUGUGCUAUUGCAGAAACCUAUCAAACAGAUACUAAUUAUUUUCAGUCCAAUAGUGAACUGUCCCAGCAAUUUGAAAGAGUUGUUAGUAAUCAGUUUAUCUCUACAGAAAGUUUUCAUUCAACUUCACAAUCAUCAUUUCAAGAGUUGGUGUAUGAAAAUCAGAAUUUGGUGACUGAAAAUAAUUUGGAGAGCAGUGAAUAUAUCGAAAAUUCAACCAAAGAAUCCAUACCAGAACCAGAGGAACAAACCUCUCCCCAGUUUAUCGAGGCUCCAUGCAGACAAGAACCCGGUGUUGAACAGAAAAUUUCUUGUACGGAAAAUCCGACUUAUUCCAGUACUAGUGACUCUGAGGCUACCAGUGAAAAUACGUCACCAUACAAAGUUCAUCAAACAGAAUCUUCUUCUGUAGGAUUCAAAAAAGUUGUUUCAGAAGAAAAACAAGAAACUACUUAUUCACGCCGCAGCCAAGAAGAUUCUAAAGAAAACCGUACAUUCUUGGUAAAUGAACAAAAUCAAGUUGUAGAUGAAUAUUCGUUAAAAUCUGAAGAACAAGAUCGACAAGAAGCUCAAAUAGACGAUUAUUCAAAUCAACAAGAAAUUAAAGAAGAAAACCAAGUAGAAGAACAGUCUUUAACGUCUGAAGAAGAAGAUUAUCAAGAGAGUAAAGAAUACGAAUUUGUUAAUGUUCCAACAGAAUCAGAAGAACAGGAAGAAUUAGCAGAAGAAAAUAGACAUAGUCUGUCUUCCAAUCAUCUCAAAAAAGAAACUAAAGUUGAAGAAGAGUUUGCUUAUUCAUCUGCCAAGGAAGAUAGCCAAGUUAUAGAAACAGAAGUUGUUGAAAACGGAACUGACUUUACUACAACCGAACAGUUUGCGCAAAUAACUACAACUAAAGUUGAAGAAGAGGUUUAUGCAUCUGAUAAGGACCAAAGGCAAAUUAUAGAAGAAGAAAGUGUUCAAAACGAAGAUAAUUUAAUUAAAACUAAGCAGUUUAAUCAAGCAACUACAAGCGAAGAACAUCAUCGAGUUACAGAAAAGGAAACAUUAAUUGAGCAGCAGAAUUACUUUUUAGAGGAAGAACGAAAGUUACCGUCUGUGCAAAACCAACUUGAAGAGUAUAGUGAAUACGAAGAGGACAUAGGAAUAGAAUACAACAAUAUCAUGUCGGAAAAAGCUCAACAGGUCCGAGUUUUAACUCUAAACGAUCACGAACACCAGGAAUGUACUCUCUACAGAAUAGAGAAGAACUGGGUGAUACAGUUCCGUGUCGGACCAUCUCUAUUCGGCAGAAAGGUUUACUUAUAUUGUAAUUAUCCUUCUAAAACCAAUAACCAACUUAACGAAUUUAGACGAAACAAAUAUCAACAGUUGCAAUGGUGUGCUGAUGAAGGUUGCGAGAAUGCCGACGAUACCGGGUUUUACUCACAGAUAAAGGCGGAGCUAGCUGGUAGUUUCCAUUAUUUCUUCACUUAUGAGAAAGGUGAAAACUUAGAAAGACAAGGAUCUGGCUAUUUUCUUGUAGAUCCUGUCCUCAAAUACGGCAAUAACGAAGAUCUGCCCCUGGAUUGCAUCCAAUGCCAAACCGUUCUAGCGAAGUGUUUGGGAUCUUUCUCCACUUGGGAGAACAAACUGCAAGUAGCUAAAGAAUCUGGUUACAAUAUGAUUCAUUUUACUCCUAUUCAGGAAUUGGGCGAGUCUAACUCGUCGUAUAGUUUGAGUGAACAGUUGAAAUUAAAUCCAGUCUUCAAGAAGAGUGAUGGAAAGAUGCCGACGUUCGAAGAAGUGGAACAGUUUACCGCGAAGCUUAGAAAAGAUUGGAAGGUAACUUCUAUUUGCGAUAUUGUUCUAAACCACACUGCAAACGAGAGCAAAUGGAUUCAAGAACAUCCCGAAGUAACGUAUAACUGUGUUAACUGCCCCUAUAUGCGUCCCGCAUACUUACUAGAUGCUGCUUUUGAUUUCUUUUCCUCCGAAGUUAAAAGAGGAGUGUACGAGGACAGAGGUAUACCACCAGAUGUUACCAGCGAAGACCAUCUCAAUGCUAUUCGCUAUCACUUCCGCGCCAGCAUUUUGGAUGAACUGAAAAUUCACGAGCUGUUUACUUGUGAUACCAAAAAGCUCAUAGCAAAUUUCUUAUCUUUAGCCCGUUCAGGUCAGCCGAAUCCUCCAAAAUCUCCAGAUUCCAAGCCCGAAACUGAGGAACUGAAGCUCAUCCAAGAUCCCGAAUACAGACGUUUAGAAACUUCCGUGGACAUGAAACUAGCUCUUAAAUUAUACAACAUUUACUGGAGCGACACAUUUGACGAAGAUUCCAGGCUUAAAAAGUGCGCUGAGCAGUUGAAGAACAAACUAGACGAACUGAACAACCGGGUCAUCGACGAAGUCAACGAUCAUUUAAGUGCUGCGAUUGAAAACGUUAUCGCCGGGAUUAGAUACUACAGAAUUCAACACGACGGGCCUAAAUUCAAAGACAUUACGAUUAAAACUCCUUUGGUGUAUCGCUACUUCACCGAUUAUGGAAGUCCGAAGACAUUGAAAGAAUUCGAAGACAUAAUGUACAGCGAUAAGGGCAGGUUUUUGAUGGCGCACAAUGGAUGGGUGAUGGAGUCUGAUCCUUUAAGAAACUUUGCUGCUCCAGACACAAAGGUAUAUAUUAGGCGUGAAUUGAUUGCUUGGGGUGACAGCGUCAAAUUAAGGUUCGGCGAUAAACCCGAAGAUUGUCCUUUCUUGUGGGAUCACAUGAAGAAGUAUGUGGAAGAAACCGCCAGGAUAUUUGAUGGUGUCCGCUUGGAUAAUUGUCACUCAACUCCAAUCCCCGUUGCCGAAUAUUUGUUGGACUGUGCCAGAAGAGUCAGACCCGAUCUUUACGUAGUAGCUGAAUUAUUUACCAAUUCCGAUAUGACUGACAAUAUCUUCGUGAAUAGAUUGGGAAUAACGUCUCUCAUCCGUGAAGCAAUGUCAGCGUGGGAUUCCCACGAAGAGGGCCGUUUAGUUUACCGCUACGGUGGCUCCCCCGUGGGAUCUUUUUAUCAACCUAACGUGCGUCCUCUUGUACCGUCAGUAGCACAUGCUUUGUUCCUCGACCAAACUCAUGACAAUCCUAGUCCAGUUGAGAAACGAUCAGUAUUCGAUCUGCUGCCCAGUACUGCAUUAAUCAACAUGGCUUGCUGUGCUAGUGGAUCAAACAGAGGCUACGACGAGUUGGUUCCUCAUCAUAUUCACGUAGUUGAUGAAGAUAGGGAGUAUACAGAAUGGACUGCCACUGAUAAUUUGUCUGUGGGCAACUUGCGUUAUGUUACUCAUAAGUGUGGUAUCCUCAAAGCCAAGAAAGCAAUAAACGAUUUACAUUUUCUUCUUGGAAAACAAGGAUUUAACCAGGUAUAUGUGGACCAGAUGGAUGCUGAUAUAGUAGCUGUGACUAGACACUGUCCCGUUACCCAUCAAAGCUAUAUUUUGGUAGCUUUUACAGCAUUUGGACAUCCAAAUGAGGAUGCAGGAGAGCACCAGAGAGGAAUAAAACCUUUAAGAUUCGAGGGAAAUCUAGACGAAAUCGUCUUGGAGGCUACUUUGAGUCACGUAAAGCACAAAUCCGGUGGUUCUAAAUAUACCAAAUGGCAUCCAUUUAUCAAGGAUUGCAAAUGGAUCAACGGUCUUCCUGACUACCAAGUAUGUGUGAAAGAGCACAUUCAAGUUCCGGACUCCGAUAUAUUUGAAAAAGUCGACUCGGGAACGAAGAACGUCACUCAACUGAACUUCAAAAACUUCAAACCAGGCUCUGUAGUUGUUAUUAAAUCUUCACUGCCAGAACCAAUGCGUGCUGCUAUAAAGACCGUCAGGACCUUAAUCAGUUCUAUUUCACUGGCUAAACCCACCGAACUAGCCACCAUAGUUAACAAAAUGACGUUAGCUGAUAUGAAUAGAGCCUUGUACAGAUGCGGCCAAGAAGAACGCGACGAAGGAUUUGGUUUCGAUACAUACAACAUUCCCAGCUUUGGUUCGAUGGUGUAUGCCGGAUUACAAGGUUUCAUGUCGUUACUUGCAAAUAUAAGACCGAAUAAUGACCUUGGUCAUCCGAUGUGUGCUAAUCUGAGAGAUGGUAACUGGAUGAUAGAAUUUAUUUGGAAAAGGCUCAAACUGGACCCUGGCACCAAAGAACUAGGGGAUUGGAUCGAACGCAAUACCAAGAGUUUUGAAAACAUUCCAAGAUACUUGGUACCUUGUUAUUUCGACAUCGUUGUCACGGGUCUUUAUCUGGUUCUCCUUGAAAAAACCCAUAAACUAAUGUCCAAUUUCGUCAAAAAUGGCUCAACGUUCGUGAGAGGCCUGGCUCUAGGAUCGGUACAAUUCGGUGCUUAUAUUAAGUCCGCCGAUUUGCCGACAUUAUCACCGAAUUUAGCACCUCCGAAACCGCCAUCUAGAAAAAUUGACAACGACACUGUUCAAGCUUGUGUGACCUUAUCAGCAGGUUUGCCACAUUUCUCAGUCGGUUACAUGAGAAAUUGGGGAAGAGACACAUUCAUCGCCUUGAGAGGACUCUUUAUUUUAACGGGGCGUUAUCAAGAAGCUAGGGAACACAUUCUAGGUUACGCUGCUUGUAUGAGACACGGUCUAAUCCCCAAUUUGUUAGAUGGUGGACGAAACUCAAGAUUCAAUUGCAGAGACGCCAUCUGGUGGUGGUUAUACUGUAUUAAAGAAUACGUCAACGAAGCUCCCGAAGGAAUCAAAAUUCUUUCAGACAAGGUUUCCAGGAUAUUCCCCACGGACGACGCCACGAAUCAACCUCCAGGAGCCGUAGAUCAACCUUUAUAUGACGUUAUUCAAGAAGGACUCAAAAUACAUUUCCAAGGACUCGCUUUCAGAGAAAGAAAUGCGGGAAGACAAAUCGACGAGCACAUGGUAGAUGCAGGUUUUAAUAAUCAGAUUGGAGUUCAUCCAGAAACAGGUUUCGUCUUUGGCGGUAAUAAAUGGAACUGCGGCACCUGGAUGGACAAAAUGGGAUCAUCCGACAAAGCCGGAAACCGCGGAAAACCAGCCACUCCAAGAGAUGGCUCCGCGGUUGAACUUAUCGGACUGUCAAAAUCGGUCAUCUCCUGGUUAGCCAAAUUGAGCGAAGACAACAAAUACCCUUACAAGGGAGUAGAAAGGGUGUCCAAGAGCGGCACAAAGACCAACUGGACGUUUAAGGAAUGGGCUCUAAAGAUACAGAACAAUUUUGAAAAACACUUCUGGGUUAAUUCCAAACCGACAGAUGGAGAAAUUCGACCCGAUUUAGUAAACAAGAGAGGCAUUUACAAGGACUCUCAUGGCUCAAGCUUAGAGUAUACCGAUUUCCAAUUGAGAUGCAACUUCCCUGUCGCCAUGGUUGCGGCACCAGAACUGUUCACUCCAAGCCGUGCUUGGGAAGCUCUGAUACAAGCAGAGAAAUAUCUAUUAGGUCCUUUAGGAAUGAAAACACUCGAUCCUGAAGAUUGGGCAUACAAAGGUGACUAUGACAAUUCCAAUCAAUCAGAAGAUCCUUCAGUUUCACAUGGAUUUAACUAUCAUCAAGGCCCCGAAUGGGUAUGGCCUAUUGGGUUCUUCCUUCGAGCCAAACUCAUUUUUGCCGCACAAAAUGGAGCGUUGAGAGAAACAGUCGCUAGUACGAAACUGAUCCUUUCGAAACACUUCGUCGAAUUACAGACUUCUGAUUGGCGAGGUCUGCCGGAAUUGACGAAUAAAGAUGGUGCCUAUUGCAACGAUAGUUCAAGGACUCAAGCGUGGAGCAUGUCUUGCGUUCUUGAGGUCCUUCAUGAUUUAAAGAAAAUUGAGUCCAGUAUAGACCUACUAGGCAACUGACUUACCAGUACCUUAGACACUAAGACAAAUAAUAGCGUUACACAAAAACAUACAUACAACAAAACCAUACGAAGCGAAUUAGUUGAGAACAAAAAACUUUUGUCGCCGAAAUUUUGUAGAAUAUUGAGACGGCAAAAGAUUUACACCGAAAUCGAAGAAAUCAAAAUAAUGAACCACUCAGACGAUCAAAAUUCUUCCAGUGAAAUAUUAAGUUCUUCCAUUUUUAGUGAUACGUUUCUGCCAUACAGCGACCUCUAUUUUAAGCAUAAUCAAACAUUGCCUAACGCGGUUGUAAGUUUAAAUAAGUUUAUACAGAGUGAUAAUUUAUUAUUAAGCAACGAUUCUCUCAUUUGUUCGUCUAAUUUUGUGCCUUUUUACCAAGAGGUUCCCAAAUAUUGCAUAGGAAUAUUAGACAGCAAACACGGACAUUUGUCAUAUAAGGAAUUAAAAUGUUCUUAUGAUCCUAGUAGUUACGAUGCAUACGUUCCUAUAUUUUUAUCUCUACCUACCAAUAAUCACUUCAAAUCUUUUACAAAUAAUUACAUAUCUCGCCGUACAAUGGGUCUGUCGAAGAAACGAAGACCGACAGUGCAGAACUUGGAUGAAAUCAUCCCGAUGAUGGACGAAAUGUACCGAAACAUCGAACACAGUCCGCGCCAGCACGAACCGGAGCCGUAUUUGGAACGGAACGUUCUGUUACUGGACCCGUUAUUGCUCGAUUUGAACGAGCGAAGAACCAAGCUGCAGAUCAGUCGUUCGGAACACAAGAAGAUUGCACGCAUCACUAUAAUGUACGUUUUAGCUUUCUUUGCACUUGCACUGGUGACGUUCUUUAGUUUGUAUUUACUCUAAGAUCUGAUAAUAAGAGACUGCUUACGUGCCAUUAGUUGUUAAAGAUAUUUAUUUUUAUGUUAAAUUUGUUUUUAAGUGCUGUUAAAUUUUAUGUACACUGUUUACUUUUAUGGAUGUAUUGUUAAAUUAUAUUUAAAUUAUACAUUACUGAAGUCAA